RNAcentral lists this ribosomal RNA (465 nucleotides) under Vreelandella stevensii. RNAcentral's name for it is "partial 16S ribosomal RNA". It matches the Rfam family "Bacterial small subunit ribosomal RNA", at positions 338 to 795 of the family's 1533-position model. The record is from RNAcentral. Lineage: Bacteria; Pseudomonadati; Pseudomonadota; Gammaproteobacteria; Oceanospirillales; Halomonadaceae.
CCUACGGGGGGCUGCAGUGGGGAAUAUUGGACAAUGGGGGCAACCCUGAUCCAGCCAUGCCGCGUGUGUGAAGAAGGCCCUCGGGUUGUAAAGCACUUUCAGUGAGGAAGAACGCCUGGUGGUUAAUACCCAUCAGGAAAGACAUCACUCACAGAAGAAGCACCGGCUAACUCCGUGCCAGCAGCCGCGGUAAUACGGAGGGUGCGAGCGUUAAUCGGAAUUACUGGGCGUAAAGCGCGCGUAGGUGGCUUGAUAAGCCGGUUGUGAAAGCCCCGGGCUCAACCUGGGAACGGCAUCCGGAACUGUCAAGCUAGAGUGCAGGAGAGGAAGGUAGAAUUCCCGGUGUAGCGGUGAAAUGCGUAGAGAUCGGGAGGAAUACCAGUGGCGAAGGCGGCCUUCUGGACUGACACUGACACUGAGGUCCGAAAGCGUGGGUAGCAAACAGGAUUAGAUACCCCUGUAGUC